Molecule: ribosomal RNA, 426 nt
Filed under: uncultured bacterium
Lineage: Bacteria
Description: bacterial SSU rRNA
Rfam family: Bacterial small subunit ribosomal RNA
Source: RNAcentral
GGGGAAUAUUGCACAAUGGGGGAAACCCUGAUGCAGCAACGCCGCGUGAGUGAAGAAGGUUUUCGGAUCGUAAAACUCUGUUGUUAGAGAAGAACAAGGAUGAGAGUGGAAAGUUCAUCCCUUGACGGUAUCUAACCAGAAAGCCACGGCUAACUACGUGCCAGCAGCCGCGGUAAUCCGUAGGUGGCAAGCGUUGUCCGGAUUUAUUGGGCGUAAAGCGAGCGCAGGCGGUCUUUUAAGUCUGAUGUGAAAGCCCCCGGCUUAACCGGGGAGGGUCAUUGGAAACUGGGAGACUUGAGUGCAGAAGAGGAAAGCGGAAUUCCAUGUGUAGCGGUGAAAUGCGUAGAUAUAUGGAGGAACACCAGUGGCGAAGGCGGCUUUCUGGUCUGUAACUGACGCUGAGGCUCGAAAGCGUGGGGAGCAAAC